This 460-nucleotide ribosomal RNA is filed under the name uncultured bacterium. RNAcentral's name for it is "partial 16S ribosomal RNA". It matches the Rfam family "Bacterial small subunit ribosomal RNA", at positions 338 to 795 of the family's 1533-position model. The record is from RNAcentral.
CCUACGGGAGGCAGCAGUGAGGAAUAUUGGUCAAUGGGCGCGAGCCUGAACCAGCCAAGUAGCGUGAAGGAUGACUGCCCUACGGGUUGUAAACUUCUGUUAUAAAGGAAUAAAGUGAGGCACGUGUGCCUUUUUGUAUGUACUUUAUGAAUAAGGAUCGGCUAACUCCGUGCCAGCAGCCGCGGUAAUACGGAGGAUCCGAGCGUUAUCCGGCUUUAUUGGGUUUAAAGGGAGCGUAGAGGGGUUGUUAAGUCCGUUGUGAAAGUUUGCGGCUCAACCGUAAAAUGGCAAUUGAUACUGGCAGUCUUGAUUACAGUUGAGGUAGGCGGAAUUCGUGGUGUAGCGGUGACAUGCUUAGAUAUCACGCAGAACUCCGAUUGCGAAGGCAGCUUACUAAACUGCCCCUGACAUUGCUGCUCGAACGUGUGGGUAUCAAACAGGAUUAGAUACCCGUGUCGUC